This 253-nucleotide ribosomal RNA is filed under the name uncultured bacterium. Its description in RNAcentral is "partial 16S ribosomal RNA". It matches the Rfam family "Bacterial small subunit ribosomal RNA", at positions 524 to 776 of the family's 1533-position model. The record is from RNAcentral.
UACGAAGGUCCCAAGCGUUGUUCGGAAUCACUGGGCGUAAAGGGAGCGUAGGCUGCGUGGUAAGUCAGAUGUGAAAUCCCGGGGCUCAACCCCGGAACUGCAUCCGAUACUGCCACGCUUGAGGGUUGGAGAGGUAGCUGGAAUUAUCGGUGUAGCAGUGAAAUGCGUGGAUAUCGAUAGGAACACUCGUGGCGAAGGCGAGCUACUGGACAACAUCUGACGCUGAGGCUCGAAGGCUAGGGGAGCAAAAGGG